This 619-nucleotide ribosomal RNA is filed under the name uncultured Alphaproteobacteria bacterium. RNAcentral's name for it is "bacterial SSU rRNA". It matches the Rfam family "Bacterial small subunit ribosomal RNA", at positions 28 to 691 of the family's 1533-position model. The record is from RNAcentral. Lineage: Bacteria; Pseudomonadati; Pseudomonadota; Alphaproteobacteria.
AGCGAACGCUGGCGGCAGGCCUAACACAUGCAAGUCGAGCGCUCAUCUUCGGAUGGGAGCGACGCACGGGUGAGUAACACGUGGGAACCUACCUUGAAGUAUGGAAUAACUGAGGGAAACUUCAGCUAAUACCGUAUACGCCCUACGGGGGAAAGAUUUAUCGCUUCAAGACGGGCCCGCGUUGGAUUAGCUAGUUGGUGAGGUAAUGGCUCACCAAGGCGACGAUCCAUAGCUGCUUUGAGAGAAUGAUCAGCCACACUGGGACUGAGACACGGCCCAGACUCCUACGGGAGGCAGCAGUGGGGAAUAUUGGACAAUGGGCGCAAGCCUGAUCCAGCCAUGCCGCGUGAGUGAUGAAGGCCUUCGGGUUGUAAAGCUCUUUCAGAUGGGACGAUGAUGACGGUACCAUCAGAAGAAGCCCCGGCUAACUUCGUGCCAGCAGCCGCGGUAAUACGAAGGGGGCUAGCGUUGUUCGGAAUUACUGGGCGUAAAGCGCGCGUAGGCGGCUUUGUCAGUCAGGGGUGAAAUCCCGGGGCUUAACCUCGGAACUGCCUUUGAUACUGCAAGGCUUGAGUCUGUGAGAGGAUGGUGGAAUACCCAGUGUAGAGGUGAAAUUCGU